RNAcentral lists this ribosomal RNA (468 nucleotides) under uncultured bacterium. Its description in RNAcentral is "partial 16S ribosomal RNA". It matches the Rfam family "Bacterial small subunit ribosomal RNA", at positions 28 to 507 of the family's 1533-position model. The record is from RNAcentral.
GACGAACGCUGGCGGCGUGCUUAACACAUGCAAGUCGAACGGAAAGGCCCUGCUUUUGUGGGGUGCUCGUGUGGCGAACGGGUGAGUAACACGUGAGUAACCUGCCCCUGACUUUGGGAUAACUUCAGGAAACUGGGGCUAUUAUCGGAUAGGAGCUCCUGCUGCAUGGUGUGGGUUGGAAAGUUUCGGUGGUUGGGGAUAGACUCGCGGCUUAUCAGCUUGUUGGUGGGGUAGUUGCUUACCAAGGCUUUGACGGGUAGCCUGCCUGGGAGGGUGACCGGGCACAAUGAGACUGCGGAACGGCGCAGAAUCCUACUGGAGGCAGCAGGGGGGAGUAUUGCGCAAAAGGCGGGCGCCGGGUGCAGUAGCCUCGCGUUCGUGAUAACCGGCUUUGGGUUGUGAACCACUUUCUCCGUUGACGAAGCGUUAGUGACGGUAAUGAGUAAGAAAGCAACGGCUAACUACGUG